CGAAGUGCUUAACUUCACCAGCCGGGAGGAGAAACCCAACCGGGAAAGCGCUAGCGAAUCUCUUAGUGCAACCGCUGCACUUGUGAUGAACGUUAUGUUAAAAAAAAUGCUGGAAUCCCUUCUAGCGUAUUGAAAAACGUGAAAGGCGUGUAGUCACUGUGUCGGGUUGACUUCAAAAAUUGCACAAUAGUCUCCCUACUGAGGAAGCGGUAGGACUGAUCCGUAAGACUGCAAAGUCGUGAGGAUAAGCUGCCUAGUCAGUACUGCUGGUACCCUUUCACCCAUUCAGAGAGCCCCCAUUUUAUACUUCCGCUCUCCUUGUCGGACUCGAGCAAAAUGAUGAGCCCCUAAAUGUGUUACCUGGUUAAAGCAAUCAGGUUUCUCUUUAAAAUUAAAAAAAAAAAAAAAAAAAAAAGACAGUUCACGUCUUGUUUCCUCCAAGAUAAUGGAGAUUAAGGCGAAGGAGGAAGAAAAAAGAAAGGGAAACAAAAAGCAAGUGACCCCGACGUGAUUCGAACACGCAGCCUUCUGAUCUGGAGUCAGACGCGCUACCGUUGCGCCACGAGGUCCUGCUGAGCAGGCGCGCGCAGAGCCUUAGAACUCGCCCAUCACGGACCGCCGGUGGGACAUGGCCCGGGGGACCUCAGGGGCCGGCGCCGGUGAAGACCCCCUUCUCACUCCCCUAUGGCGACCUCACAGAUUACAACCGCAGGAUCUUUCCUUGAGUUCAGUUGGGAAAGACUAGACUUUCAAGUUUGCGGUUGCAUUGGCUCCCUCUGGUGGCAUUCAGAGAUGCUCUACAGUCUAGGAAAAUGAUUCAAAAUUAGUUAGAAAUCAGAAAAGGUAGAACCAUUUUUCAUCUGAAAGUGCUGAUUUAUCAACACCAAAAUGCUUUGUGGGAAAAUGUUU
RNAcentral lists this transfer RNA (909 nucleotides) under Apteryx rowi (Okarito brown kiwi). Its description in RNAcentral is "lncRNA (ENSARWG00000008741.1)". Lineage: Eukaryota; Metazoa; Chordata; Aves; Apterygiformes; Apterygidae. The record is from RNAcentral.